Molecule: long non-coding RNA, 1678 nt
Filed under: Homo sapiens (human)
Lineage: Eukaryota; Metazoa; Chordata; Mammalia; Primates; Hominidae
Description: ZRANB2 antisense RNA 1 (ZRANB2-AS1)
Source: RNAcentral
AAGUGAGGAGCUCAGCUCUGAAGCUGUAACCAAGACCGCGCGGGCAGGAGGAAAGGACACUUCAGCGCUCUGCGGUUGCAAACACACCCCUGCGGGUGCUGCCACUUAGCAAAGUCUUAGGUUCCCGCUUACUCGCACACGCAUCCUGACUUCCCCCAACCCUGGAACUACCUACCAGGAGCGGAGACCAGCAGACCGACAGCACGCACAUGAUCCCCAUAAGCUGAAUGGCCGUCUCGGUCGUGAUGCGGCCCCACUGGGCACUGGACUGAGAUGCCGUGGCCUUGGCCCGGCAGCGGGACACCAGGGCCUUAAUGGUGGCCAGGUUGCAGGAAAAGGUGACUGUCAGCGCCAAGAGCCCCAGGAAGGCAAAGGCAGAGGCGAAGAAAAGGUUGCCCCAGUUAUGCGAAGAGCUAGUCCCGUUGCCCCCUCGCCCGGUGCUGAUGAAGCACCACGUCCCGGGCCACUGGACGGUGUACUGGCCCACGCCCAGCACCGGCAGCAGGGCGAAGGCGAGCACGGCCAGCCACACGCCGAGCAGCACAGCGCGGGUGGCACGCGUCUUCAUGUGGCUCGCAUACCAGUGCGGCGCCCUGAUGGCCAGCGCCCGCUCGACGGCCAUGGCGCUGGCGAUGAACAACGAGGAGAGCCCGAAAACAGUCAUGGUCAGCCCGAAAAAGGUGCAGAGCCGCCCCGACGGGUCGAUGUGCUCCCAACGCUGCUUGGACAGGUACACGACGAUGACGACCGGGGUGGUGAGAAGCUGCCCGACCAGGUCGGUGAGCGCCAGCCAGCCGAUGCACAGCAGGAAGGACUUCUUGCGCUUGCUCUCCCGGCGCCGGUAGCUGCGCGACACGAGCAGCAUGGCCAGUGCGUUGCCCACGAAACCAGUGAGCAGCAUGGUGAUCGGGAAGGCCACGGACACCGAUCCGCAAUCCUCGCCAGACCCUGGAGGGCGCGUGAGGUUGCCCCGCGCCUCGGCGGAACGCUCGGGCGCCCACAUGCCUGUGUAGGAGUGGUUGAGGCGGGUGCAGAAGGGGGCAUCCCCUCCGUAGCCCCGGGUCUCCUUCAUGUUGGCUUCGAGAAAUCCUCCAAGGUACUAUUGCUAUUAUUAUUUCCCUUAAAGGUGGGGUAACUGAGGCCCCAUGAAGUUAAAGAAUGUUCCUGAAGUCUCUCAGCAAUUCUCAAGUCCCAUCUUAUUUGAAGCAUGUAUUCCUGACAUGGGUCCCAUAACUGCUCUCAGCAGAUGAAUAUUAACGAAACCCAAACCUUUCGGGUGACCGUGAUCUUGUUCGUCUUUUUUUGCGAUCACCAGAUGAAGAAGAUCUAGAACGACUUCUCUUUCUGUUCCUCUCAGGAGAAGAUGAUGAACUUGAAUAAGAUCUUUUUCGUGGGGAAGAAGAGCCCCUGUGGGACCUGGAGCUGGAUCUUCAUUGAUUGAGAAACAAAUCAAACAUUUCAUUAAAAGAAGAAAUAAGGAAGAUUAUUUAGUUAUCAGAUAGCUCCAAAAAUAAACAGGAUUUAUAACAACUAUGAAAAUUUUAUAAGGAAGAAUACUUACUGCUUAUUCAACAGAAGACUUCUGGAUCAACCAUGAAAACAUUCUACUUAAACAUUUUAAUUUUGUCUCUUUAAAAUUCUAUCAUGUGUAAUUAAAACCCUGCUUACUAUAUCAAAA